Molecule: long non-coding RNA, 172 nt
Organism: Cotesia glomerata
Lineage: Eukaryota; Metazoa; Arthropoda; Insecta; Hymenoptera; Braconidae
Exons: 2
Source: RefSeq, a predicted model, not a curated record
AUUUCGCGGGACAUAGGAAUGUUACUACAAUAUUUUACGUAAAUCUGACGUUAAACUGAACUCCCUUGCGAUCCAAUUAUGAUGUAAAAAUUUGGGAUAUAAUUUUGAUAUCAUACCGAUUCCCGGCAGUGUUGUGAGCCAAAAUUACCAACAGAAUACUUAAAUAAUAAAA